Long non-coding RNA from Pristis pectinata (smalltooth sawfish), 1273 nucleotides. RefSeq lists it as uncharacterized. NCBI's taxonomy places the organism in Eukaryota, Metazoa, Chordata, Chondrichthyes, Rhinopristiformes, Pristidae. The record is from RefSeq and is a predicted model, not a curated record. The transcript has 3 exons.
GGUUCCCCCACGGGUCCAGAAGACUCAUGGACGAUCCAAAUAACCCCCGUGGUUGCGGGAGUAGGUGCUCUGGCCCUUAUCGUUUUGUUCGUUAUCAUUUGUGUAAUCGUCAAGAAGCGGGGGAGUGUUGUGAGAUCUUCACCAGAAGCAGAGGACACGACUGAGAUGGGGGCGAGGAAGGAGACCAUGAAGGUCAAGAAAUGUCAAUCGGUGUACCUCGCCCAGACGGCUAGCGCCAAGGAUAGAAAGAUGAAAGACCCCGAAGACCGAUCACACCAUCUCCAGAAUCAGCGCCAUGAUAUUUAUGAAAAUUACAAUAUGGAUCGGGAUAAUGUGUACGCAAAUGUGGACUGAUUGAGAACUGGGACCAGAAGCUGGGAAGAGUGGAGGAGGAGAGGAGAGCUCGGGAAUUCAAAUUUACUCCGGAUAAAACUGCAGCGAAUCAGCACCCGCACCUGGAUAAGGGUCCGAUUCAACGCUACGUAAACCAGUUUCCCACCAGCGAGCUCUUCACAGGAUCUCGGAGCUGUCUCUACCCGACGUAGUAGUCUGUCUGAGAUCAUAGCGCGGUACUGUGUACAGUUCUGGUCACCACACUAUCGGAAGGGUUAGGAUUCCCCAGGCAGGUGCCUGGUUUGGAGUGUUCCAGUUCCGAGGAGAUACCGGAGCGGCUGGGUCUGUUCUACCUUGGGCGUAGGACGCUGAGGAAGAUUUACGAGGAUGUGGCUGGGACUCGAAGUGGAGGUUGUGCAGGCUAGGACUUUAUUCCUUGGAGCAUAGGAGACUGAGGGGGUGACCUGAUAGAUGUAUGCAACAUCACAAAGAGGAUAGAUCAGGUGGGUAAUGAUAAUCCUUUCCCCAUGGAGAGGGGCAUAGAGUCAUAGAGCUGAACAGAAACAGGCCUUUUGGCCCAGCCGGUCUAUGUCGACCAAGAUUCCCAUCUAAGCUCGUCCCAUUUGCUCGCUAUUGGCCCAUAUCCCUCUAACCCUUUCCUACCUGCCCGAGUGCAUUUUAAAUAUCGUUAAUGUACCUGCCUCAACCACUUCCUCUGGCAGCUCUUUCCAUAUACGGACCACCCUCUGGGUGGAAAAGUUGCCCUUCGGGUUCCUGUUAAAUCGCCUCUCACCUCAAACCUGUGCCCUCUAGUUCUUUAUUCCCAACGCUGGGGAGAAGAGCCUAUAUGCAGCUCUACAAAACUCUGGUUAGACCACACUUGUGUCCAGUUCUGGUCUCCUCAUUAUAGGAAUGAUGUGGAAGCGUUGGAGAGGGUGCA